GCGGGGUUGAGUGCCCAGUGUUUGGAGUAAGCGCCAUGUAGGUCCUGAAAUCUCUCAAUUACCUACUGGCUGGUGGCCAAGAUACACUUGCUGAGCCUGGGUCCCCCUGCUCUAAAAUACGGUCAGGGUCCCCAUUCCGCCUGGCAACAGGCCCUGAAGUACUCCCCGAAGUUCUACUUCACCGCCUCCUAGCCUGACCACCGUUCUCUUGGGAAGCUGCAGGUUAUCUGGUCUGUCUGUACUCGCAGAGAUCCAAUUCACAUGGGCACCAUUCAGGGAGCUUCUAAGUGAUCAGCCCCGGGUGAGAUUCUAACUACUUAGCCUGAAGUGCAAACACUGGUCCACACCAGGCUCAGCCCCAUGACCGAGACGGCUCUUCUGAAGACUCCGCAAUCACAGGCGAAAGGUAAAGGGCAGAGGAAAGGGAAGCUGACCCGGGAGCUGCAAAUCAUAGGAAAUUUGAGGCUGUCUGCCACCCAAGAUCCGGAAGCAUGGCAGGUAAAGAAGGCCUCUCUAGAUGACAAGUGUCAAGUGCUCGCAAGUACUGUGUAUAACUCACACCGGCAAAGGGCAUCGGAAUGUCAGAGCGUGUCCUCAAGGAGGGCCACCUGAGUGUGGGAACACUCGGCCACCAUCCCUGGGCUGCUGGUGAGAAAUGGAGCCAUGCUCUGGACUAGUCCCUGCCCUUUCCACCCCCAACUUCAGGACAGCCAAAGACGGCGAACUAGGAAGCAUUCUCAGCUGUUACGUUGCCCCUUUCUGGCUUGUGAAAGAAGGAACACAGGGAACAAAUGGGUAGGAAGGGAAGGUUGGAUGUCCAGCAACAACAUUAUGCUCACAGGAAAAUGUCAAGGUCAUUAGGGAAAUACGACAAACGCAAAGCAGAUAGAAAUGAACUAAUGGUUUACAUUUGGCAGCCAUGAGGCUGCAAACCUAUCCUUCUUCUAGAAUAAAUACUGUAAAUGACUUGA
Mesocricetus auratus (golden hamster) is the source of this 971-nucleotide long non-coding RNA. RefSeq lists it as uncharacterized. The transcript is spliced from 2 exons. NCBI's taxonomy places the organism in Eukaryota, Metazoa, Chordata, Mammalia, Rodentia, Cricetidae. The record is from RefSeq and is a predicted model, not a curated record.